UCCGGUUUAUCACCGGCAGUCUCCUUUGAGUUCCCGAUCAAAUCGCUGGCAACAAAGGAUAAGGGUUGCGCUCGUUGCGGGACUUAACCCAACAUUUCACAACACGAGCUGACGACAGCCAUGCAGCACCUGUCUCACGGCUCCCUAAGGCACUCCGGCAUCUCUGCCAGAUUCCGUGGAUGUCAAGGCCAGGUAAGGUUCUUCGCGUUGCAUCGAAUUAAACCACAUGCUCCACCGCUUGUGCGGGCCCCCGUCAAUUCAUUUGAGUUUUAACCUUGCGGCCGUACUUCCCAGGCGGUCGACUUAACGCGUUAGCUACGGAAGCCACGCCUCUCGGGCACAGCCUCCAGGUCGACAUCGUUUACGGCGUGGACUAC
Molecule: unclassified non-coding RNA, 377 nt
Filed under: uncultured Enterobacteriaceae bacterium
Lineage: Bacteria; Pseudomonadati; Pseudomonadota; Gammaproteobacteria; Enterobacterales; Enterobacteriaceae
Description: contains 16S-23S intergenic spacer region
Source: RNAcentral